Molecule: ribosomal RNA, 495 nt
Filed under: uncultured bacterium
Lineage: Bacteria
Description: partial 16S ribosomal RNA
Rfam family: Bacterial small subunit ribosomal RNA
Source: RNAcentral
GACGAACGCUGGCGGCGUGCCUAAUACAUGCAAGUAGAACGCUGAAGGAGGAGCUUGCUCUUCUGGAUGAGUUGCGAACGGGUGAGUAACGCGUAGGUAACCUGCCUGGUAGCGGGGGAUAACUAUUGGAAACGAUAGCUAAUACCGCAUAACAGUAGAUGUUGCAUGACAUUUGCUUAAAAGGUGCAAUUGCCCCACUACCAGAUGGACCUGCGUUGUAUUAGCUAGUUGGUGGGGUAACGGCUCACCAAGGCGACGAUACAUAGCCGACCUGAGAGGGUGAGCGGCCACACUGGGACUGAGACACGGCCCAGACUCCUACGGGAGGCAGCAGUAGGGAAGCUUCGGCAAUGGACGAAAGUCUGACCGAGCAACGCCGCGUGAGUGAAGAAGGUUGUCGGAUCGUAAAGCUCUGUUGUAAGAGAAGAACGAGUGUGAGAGUGGAAAGUUCACACUGUGACGGUAUCUUACCAGAAAGGGACGGCUAACUACGUG